GAUGAACGCUGGCGGCGUGCCUAAUACAUGCAAGUCGAGCGAACAGACUCGGAGCUUGCUCCUCUGACGUUAGCGGCGGAUGGGUUAGUAACACUUGGAUCACCUACCUAUACGACUUGGAUAACUUCGUGACACCGGUGCUAAUACCGGAUAAUAUAUUGACCCUCAUGGUUCAAUAGUGAACGACGGUUUUGCUGUCAUUUCUAGAUACAUUCUCGCCGCAUUAGCUCGUUGGUAAGGUAACGGCUUAUCAUGUCCAUGAUGCGUAGCCGACCUGUGAGCGUGAUCGCCCGCACUGGAAGUGAGACACGGUCCAGACACCUACGAGAAGGAGCAGUAGGGAAACUUCCACAAUGGGCGAAAGACUAUCGGAGCAGCGGCACGUAAGUGGUAAAGGACUUAGGAUCGUAAAACUCUGUUAAUAGGGGAGAAAAAGUGUGUGAGUAACUAGGGAGGACGUGAAGGAACCAAAGAAGAAAGCCACGGCGAACAACAUG
Molecule: ribosomal RNA, 497 nt
Filed under: uncultured bacterium
Lineage: Bacteria
Description: partial 16S ribosomal RNA
Rfam family: Bacterial small subunit ribosomal RNA
Source: RNAcentral